CCUGACGUACGCUACUCAGUUGCCAGCUCGAGGCCAUACUCAUAGUCAGCGAAAUAUAGGGGAAAC
Caenorhabditis elegans is the source of this 66-nucleotide non-coding RNA. Lineage: Eukaryota; Metazoa; Nematoda; Chromadorea; Rhabditida; Rhabditidae. The record is from Ensembl.